This is a non-coding RNA of Arachis ipaensis, 3351 nucleotides long. NCBI's taxonomy places the organism in Eukaryota, Viridiplantae, Streptophyta, Magnoliopsida, Fabales, Fabaceae. The record is from RefSeq and is a predicted model, not a curated record.
CCACUAGUUCAUCCUGUGUGGUUGAUGAUUUGCUUAGAGAAAGUGAGGCCAUUAAUGAACUUAUAGUUGACAUGCAUGAUUCUCUUGAUCUUGUUAGCCAGUUAAUUUGUUAAGGGAGUUUGAGUUGGAAUUUAUGGUAUCUUUGAAUGCAUUUUUAAGUGAGUUAAUACUAAGUAGGAUUUGUUAGCUGCGCAAAUGUUGUUGCCAUUCACUGUUUUAAAAUUUCUUAAUCCUGAAUUUUGUUACUGAUUGUGGUUGCUUCUUAAUGAGACUAAUGAAAAAGUUGUACUCAGCAAAUCUAAUCUUUUAGCUUCAGCUAUCUAUUAUUCCCUCCUUCAAUUUAUUUCUCCUUCAGUUGUCAUUGCUGCAUAUACACUUCAUAGUUAUUGUUGACUGUAUAUUCUUUAUAUUGGUGCUACUAAUUUAAUUUAAUUUGAGUUUGUUACCUAUCAGGAGUUAUUACUUCCUAUAUUGUUAAUUGUUAUUCUUAAAUUCUGAUUUUGUAUGUAAAUAAUCAAAAAUUGAGAACUACGUAAAGUCAAUGCAAUUUGAGUAGUCAAUAUUAUUGCUGCAAUGUGGCUUUAUCUUUUCUUAUUGUUCUAGUUUCUUUGUAUUUUUUUCUCCCUAGUUCUCCUGAUUUUCUAACACUGCAAUCCUAGAAAUGGAACAUGUUUAAAGGAGAAAUAAGUGUUGAAGAAGAGACUCUCAUUAUUCGUGCUUUAUUCCUUUGCCACACACACUCAAUUCAAGUGAAAAGAGAAAAAUAUUAUGUUAUAUAUUCCUUUUUAAAAAAAUAAUUUUGAAACAAACAUGCUUCGUCCCAAAGUUUGAAACAAACAUUCUUCUUCUUGCCAAACUCUACACUCCAUUAGUUGUUAAAUAUCCGUACGCCUUAUAUUCAAAAAUGACCAUGUUCUUGCACGCAUUUUUACACUAUUUAAAUAAUUACAAAGUAUAUACAUAACCAUUUUCUAUGUUUAUGGCUACCUAUCAUUUUCUCUGUCCAUAUUUUAAAGAACUCCUUUGUAUUAUUUGGGUUAGACCAAUUUAAAUUUUUACACCUAAGCUAUUUAAGCUUUGUUCUACAAUGAAUAAAGAGGUGCUCUCUUUAAUUCACUUCACUUAUACAUGCAUAAAUUACAGUAAACAUCACUCGCUUGUACAAUAUUUAGUUUAACCAAUAAUUUCUCUUUUGCAUUUAGUAAUUCUGCUAAACAUAAAUUACAACCCCACAUAAGCUAUCAAAAAUGUCUUUGGAUUGUGAUUGUUGAGCAUUAUCUCGGUCACCUUUUGUGUAAAAUCAAUCCUAUGUCCAAUGUAUGUGAGAGUAUUUGUAAUACUAAAAUAUUCUGUCAGGUCAAAAAUUGGUUACUAAAAAAAUCAAAUAUGUUAUAUAACCUAAUAUUUUUUUGUGUUGAGAUUGAACAAGUCUACUUGCAUUAUUAUGUUGAAGACUACUGCUAUUUUUUUUUGCCUUGAACCUGUUAUUAAUUCAAAGAUUUCAUAUUUCAAUUUAUUUUGGUUUGGAUUUACUGUUGUGCUGAUAAAUACCAAAUUUUGUACAUAUAGUUUGCACUUAUAUAUUAAAUUUUGCUGUUGUGCUGAUAUUUUUUGGCAAUGAAGAUUUUCUACUUUAUGUAGGGAUACAUUUCUAUAUGAGAAAAAAAAUAUUCAAAUGCUUGUUUCAAUGUUAUGAUCCGAAUGCAGUAUAUUAAGAUGUCUAGGAUAGGUCGUUACACAAAGAUAUCCAAGUUAAACACAGCAUGUCAGCAAUGUCAAGUAGGAUCUUCUGCGACUUCAACCUCCCAUCAAGUUGACUGCCUAAUUCCCCCGUCCAGUGGCGGUUUUUCCCCCGUAGCCUCAUCUAUACGCCCCUUUCACCCGCCCCAUAGCGAACCACCGCCUGCUCCACAGACUUGCACGAAUAAUAUUCAAAACUCGGAGCCGAACGAUGAAGACUUAGACUUAGAGGCAGAUGAGGUAGAUUCUUUUAAGCAACAUGUUGACAACCUGUUUAUUGCAUCGGAGGCUUAGAAGCGCAAGAGACGUAAGACCGCUAAAUUUUGGGAUGUUAAAACAAUUGAAUCUAAUGGCACAAUCAAACAAGCUCAUUUGAGUGUGAAAGAAGCUAUGAAGCCACCUAACGGUAGAAAAAUCAUACUCAGAUUCAAGGAGAACCUGCAACCAGUUAGAGCUGAAGCUGGUAUACUGAGUGGCGUCUCAGAUUGCUAGGAUCUGACUACACCAAAUUUCCAAUCUGCGAGAAAGACUGGAGAAAGGUUCACUUCAAGGACAAGAUCUAUAAUGAAUUUGUAAAGAAAUGUUCCAUUUUGAUGAAGAUAGUGGAGGAAUUAUCAAGCGUACAAUUUUAAAAAUGCUAGGGAGGGCUUGGAAGGAAACGAGGAACAUCUUGUACUAUGAUCAUUACGACUCACAACUGACUAUUGGACAAAAUAUUGAAGGCCGCCCACCGAAAAUUACUAUGGACCAUUGGAGACGGUACCUUGAUUAUCACAACAGUGAAGACACAAAGGAGAAGUGUAGAAAAAAUGCUGCGAAUCGAUUGAAGCAGCUAUACACUCACAUUAGCAGAUUGAAAAGCUUGGCAAGGCUUGGAGAAGAAGAGCCAGAACGAUAACGGAAGUGAGUUGGUAGAUGAGAGUUGUGGACCUUAACACACAACGACCUAAUGGUUCCUAUAUCCAUGGUGCAGCUCGGGCUAUUGGUGAAAAAAUUGCAGAGAUUGAGUAACAUGAUGAAUCCUCUAGACUGUUGUCUCAAAAUGAUUCGCUUGCUCAAGCUCUCGGAAAGAAGCACUCGGGUAGAGUGCGUGGCAUGGGUAUUGGACCGACUUCUAGUUAAGUCUUCAGUACGAAUUUCCAUCAGCUGAGCAAUGGAGCUCAAAGAGAGGAGACCCAAAGAGUGCUCAGAGCUGGCAACUGAGAAAUUAAAAAGGAAGGCAGUGGAGGGUGAAGUAGUAGCCGAGAAGACAAAAAAGCAGGCAGUCAAGGAUGAAGUAGUAGCCGAGAAGACAAAAAGACAGAUAGUGGAGGAUGAGGUAGCAGUCGAGAAGACAAAAAGGCAGUCAGUGGAGGAUGAAUUAUCAGCCGAAAAGAUAAAGAUGAAGGCGAUGGAGAGUGCUCUGAGAUGUCUAAUUCAAGAGCAAGGUGGGGAGCUGCCACCAGAUGUCACUGCAUGGAUGAAUUCGUUUGAGGGACAGAGUGGAAAAUAGAUUUUAUGUUGAACUUUUUUUUUAAAUAUAGACUUUUUAUUAUUGAUAUGCAACCCUUAUUAAAGAAUACACUUAAUUAAUAUUUGGAUAAAUAUAUGAAUUUGCUUUAUAGUUUUGCU